This 454-nucleotide ribosomal RNA is filed under the name uncultured bacterium. Its description in RNAcentral is "bacterial SSU rRNA". It matches the Rfam family "Bacterial small subunit ribosomal RNA", at positions 105 to 496 of the family's 1533-position model. The record is from RNAcentral.
GGUGCGUAACACGUGGGGCAAACAUGCCUGAAAGCGCGGGCAUAAGCCCGGGGAAAUCCCGGAUUAAAUCACCGCAUGUGACAUCUUGGGGGGGAUUCCCUCCGGACGUCAAAGGUGGGUGACCGCGACAAGGCCAUGGCCGUCGUUUGCAGAUUGUGCUCCAGCGCCACCUAUCAGCUUAGUUGAGAUCGAGGUAAUCAGUGCGUCACCAAGGCGUACGGAGGGUAGCUGGGUCUGAGAGUGACGACCAGGCGACAACUGGGAACUGAGACAACGGUCCAGACUACCAAACGGGUGGCAGCAGUCGAGAAUCUUUCACAAUGGGGGAAACCCUGAUGGAGCGACAGCCGCGUGGAGGAUGAAGGUCUUCGGAUUGUAAACUCCUGUCAUGAGAGAACAAGCAGACCCGGUUAACAGCCGGGCGAGCCGAUAGUAUCUCAAGAGGAAGGGACGG